RNAcentral lists this ribosomal RNA (490 nucleotides) under uncultured bacterium. RNAcentral describes it as "partial 16S ribosomal RNA". It matches the Rfam family "Bacterial small subunit ribosomal RNA", at positions 30 to 507 of the family's 1533-position model. The record is from RNAcentral.
AUUGAGCGCUGGCGGCAGGCCUAACACAUGCAAGUCGAACGGUAACAGGAAGCAGCUUGCUGCUUCGCUGACGAGUGGCGGACGGGUGAGUAAUGUCUGGGAAGCUGCCUGAUGGAGGGGGAUAACUACUGGAAACGGUAGCUAAUACCGCAUAAUGUCGCAAGACCAAAGAGGGGGACCUUCGGGCCUCUUGCCAUCGGAUGUGCCCAGAUGGGAUUAGCUUGUUGGUGGGGUAACGGCUCACCAAGGCGACGAUCCCUAGCUGGUCUGAGAGGAUGACCAGCCACACUGGAACUGAGACACGGUCCAGACUCCUACGGGAGGCAGCAGUGGGGAAUAUUGCACAAUGGGCGCAAGCCUGAUGCAGCCAUGCCGCGUGUACGAAGAAGGCCUUCGGGUUGUAAAGUACUUUCAGCGGGGAGGAGGGGAGUAAAGUUAAUACCUUUGCUCAUUGACGUUACCCGCAGAAGAAGCACCGGCUAACUCCGUG